UAUCAGAAAUAGAUAUGCAGGUCACUAAUACUAGUGGCACCUUAGUUCUUCACUGGGGUGGGAUACAAAUUGGAAAAGAGUAAGUACACUUGUAAAUAUAAUGAUUUGCUUUGAUUCAAGUUUUGAGCUAUAGCAUUAAAAUGUUUUAUGUUACUUUUGUCAUUUUUUCACGCAGUUAGAAUUAUGUAUUUUUCAAAUUGCAAAACUGCUGGAAUGGGAAAAGCUAACAAAGAUAAAGCAUCAUCUGAAUCUUACAGAUUUUGGGGUGUUCUGGCUUGUCACUAGUCUGUCCAAUAAUGCAUCUAAAAAUCCUUAUUUUUGUCUAUUCAUAUUUGACCACAAAAAGCAUGAUCACUGACUUAUUGAUCUUGCAGUCUGUGGAUUAUGAGCCUCCAUUCUUCAGAAACUGCACAGAACAAGAAGCUCAUAGCCCAUGGACUAAAAAUCCUUUGAAAAUUGAGAGGUUGGGAAUGUCAACAACAAACAUUUUGUAUUAGCUCUCAGGUUAAGAGUAUGCUUGAUCCUUGUGAAGAUGAAAAUGAUGACAUUCAAGACGAUGAUGUGAGCUUGGGAGCUGAUUUUGUACAAAGGGAUGAGCAUUCUGAAUCUGUCAGUGAGGUACUGUGUUAACAUUUCUUUACUGUUUGUUCUCCAUGAGCUUCACUAACUGCUGAAAGCUUGAUUUACCAUAUAGAACAAGUGUUUAGUUAACUACUUGUCAAUUUGUAACCCACUUUAGGUUAGCCAUUCGCAAGAUAACCAAUACAUAGUCGCGCCAAUAGAUAAGCAGCAGAAUUGUGAUGAUAAUGGAUGACAUGGUUGAUGAAGGUGAUAACGACCCAUGAUGGGUUUCUUGAUGCCAAAAGCAACCAGAGGCUAGGCUAGGCCCAC
This is a non-coding RNA of Camellia sinensis, 891 nucleotides long. Lineage: Eukaryota; Viridiplantae; Streptophyta; Magnoliopsida; Ericales; Theaceae. The record is from RefSeq and is a predicted model, not a curated record.